AAGAGCAGUCAGCGUGGAAAUAUCGAUAGAAGAUAAAAAGAGAGGCAACAUUGCGGCGGAAUUUAAGAGGUAGAAGACUAUCAAUAUGAGGAGGAGAGCUGAUGAGACGAAGAGCCUUAGCCUCCACUCUGUCCAGAAGAGCUGUGUGAGUGGAGGCCCCCCCCCACAUGAGAUGCAUACUCCAUACGAGGGCGGACAAGGCCCCUGUAUAUGGACAGCAACUGUGCAGGGGAGAAGAACUGGCGGAGACGGUACAGAACGCCCAGCCUCGAGGAAGCUGAUUUAGUAAGAGAUGAGAUAUGAAGUUUCCAGUUGAGAUUUUGAGUUAAGGAUAGACCGAGGAUGUUUAGUGUUGAGGAAGGUGAUAGCUGGGUGUUGUCAAAGAAUAGGGGAUAGUUGUUUGGAAGAUUGUGUCGAGUGGAUAGGUGGAGAAACUGUGUUUUUGAGGCGUUGAAGGACACCAGGUUCCUCUUGCCCCAAUCGGAAAUAAUAGUAAGGUCUGAGGCUAAGCGUUCUGCAGCCUCCAGCCUUGAGUCGUUAAGUUCCUGUAGGGUGGGUCUUCUAUUAAAAGAAGUUGAGUAAUGCAGAGUGGAAUCAUCGGCGUAGGAAUGGAUAGGACAGUUCGUUUUGGAAAGAAGAUCAUCAAUGAACAACAGAAAGAGAGUGGGAGAUAGGACAGAACCCUGUGGGACACCACUGUUAAUAGGUUUAGGGGAAGAACAGUGACCGUCUACCACAGCAGAAAUAGAACGGUCAGAAAGGAAACUGGAGAUAAAGGUA
Molecule: long non-coding RNA, 780 nt
Organism: Eriocheir sinensis (Chinese mitten crab)
Lineage: Eukaryota; Metazoa; Arthropoda; Malacostraca; Decapoda; Varunidae
Exons: 2
Source: RefSeq, a predicted model, not a curated record